Vicia faba (fava bean) is the source of this 180-nucleotide non-coding RNA. The record is from the annotation of a GenBank genome assembly. Lineage: Eukaryota; Viridiplantae; Streptophyta; Magnoliopsida; Fabales; Fabaceae.
AUGCUACAUGGAAACUUUUACACUAAAUUAAUGCUAAUCUUAAGCCUUCAUGUCUUAAACCAAUCCUCCAUCAUUCUCCAUGAUAUGUCAAAAAUUUCUCCAUGCCUUCACAAACCUUCAACUGCUUCCAAACUUUGUCCACUAAUCUUGUCUUCAUAUCUCCAUAACGUCUUUAAAUGA